AUCGUGGUUGAUGAUUCACAUUUGAUGCAUUUCCAUAUAGGGCCACAGCCCAUGCGGAAAACUGUUGGAGACCUGAACUGACACGAU
Molecule: small nucleolar RNA, 87 nt
Filed under: Chlamydomonas reinhardtii
Lineage: Eukaryota; Viridiplantae; Chlorophyta; Chlorophyceae; Chlamydomonadales; Chlamydomonadaceae
Description: CrCD20e snoRNA
Source: RNAcentral